This 483-nucleotide ribosomal RNA is filed under the name Escherichia coli. RNAcentral describes it as "partial 23S ribosomal RNA". It matches the Rfam family "Bacterial large subunit ribosomal RNA", at positions 1 to 523 of the family's 2925-position model. Lineage: Bacteria; Pseudomonadati; Pseudomonadota; Gammaproteobacteria; Enterobacterales; Enterobacteriaceae. The record is from RNAcentral.
GGUUAAGCGACUAAGCGUACACGGUGGAUGCCCUGGCAGUCAGAGGCGAUGAAGGACGUGCUAAUCUGCGAUAAGCGUCGGUAAGGUGAUAUGAACCGUUAUAACCGGCGAUUUCCGAAUGGGGAAACCCAGUGUGUUUCGACACACUAUCAUUAACUGAAUCCAUAGGUUAAUGAGGCGAACCGGGGGAACUGAAACAUCUAAGUACCCCGAGGAAAAGAAAUCAACCGAGAUUCCCCCAGUAGCGGCGAGCGAACGGGGAGCAGCCCAGAGCCUGAAUCAGUGUGUGUGUUAGUGGAAGCGUCUGGAAAGGCGUGCGAUACAGGGUGACAGCCCCGUACACAAAAAUGCACAUACUGUGAGCUCGAUGAGUAGGGCGGGACACGUGGUAUCCUGUCUGAAUAUGGGGGGACCAUCCUCCAAGGCUAAAUACUCCUGACUGACCGAUAGUGAACCAGUACCGUGAGGGAAAGGCGAAAAGAA